Molecule: ribosomal RNA, 434 nt
Filed under: uncultured bacterium
Lineage: Bacteria
Description: partial 16S ribosomal RNA
Rfam family: Bacterial small subunit ribosomal RNA
Source: RNAcentral
AGCGAACGCUGGCGGCAGGCCUAACACAUGCAAGUCGAACGAACCUUUCGGGGUUAGUGGCGGACGGGUGAGUAACACGUGGGAACGUGCCUUUAGGUUCGGAAUAACUCAGGGAAACUUGUGCUAAUACCGAAUGUGCCCUUCGGGGGCAAGAUUUAUCGCCUUUAGAGCGGCCCGCGUCUGUUUAGCUAGUUGGUUGAGGUAAUGGCUCACCAAGGCGACGAUCAGUAGCUGGUCUGAGAGGAUGAUCAGCCACAUUGGGACUGAGACACGGCGCAGACUCCUACGGGAGGCAGCAGUGGGGAAUCUAGCGCAAUGGGCGAAAGCCUGACGCAGCCAUGCCGCGUGAAUGAUGAAGGUCUUAGGAUUGUAAAAUUCUUUCACCGGGGACGAUAAUGACGGUACCCGGAGAAGAAGCCCCGGCUAACUUCGUG